Molecule: non-coding RNA, 255 nt
Organism: Pelobates cultripes (western spadefoot toad)
Lineage: Eukaryota; Metazoa; Chordata; Amphibia; Anura; Pelobatidae
Source: the annotation of a GenBank genome assembly
UAUCAUUGUAUUGGAGAAUACAUCUUACCAGGAAAGUUAUUUUAACAUAAAACAGCUCCCAAGGAAGUGAAUAUAUAAUGUAUCAUAUAUAAUAUAUAUCUGUGCUUUGCAAACUGUUUUAUUAGUACUCACCUUAUUACACAGUUUCCUUUUUGCUGCAAUUGGCUCUUCUUGUGGACACUUCCAGAGAACUUCUGCUGUUAUUGCCCCUACUUGGGGACAUUUCCAAAGAAGAUUAGGGGGAAGCCUACUGAU